CAUUCUCCUGCCUCAGCCUCGCGAGUAGCUGGGACUACAGGGGCCUGCCGCCACCCCCGGCUAAUUUUUUGAAUUUUUUUUUAGUAGAGACGGGGUUUCACCGUGUUAGCCGGGAUGAGUCUCGAUCUCCUGACCUCGCGAUCCCCCCGCCUCGGCCUCCCAAAGUGCUGGGAUUACGAGCGUGAGCCACAGUGUGCGGCCGGGAAAAUUUUCUUGAGUUCGAACUUCUUUUUUUGAAAUAUGCGCUGUUGACACCUGGCCUUAUCCCUUCAGGCCUUCACAGUUCAGGCCGUUUGGCCCCGCUUCUCCUCGUUGACUUUCCCACCAACAGUGCAUUGACCAGCACCACCGUCUGAGAACUCACAAAGGAUCUGAUUUACCUUCCUAGGAUUCCGUAUCACCUCUUCUUACACCAAGGGACCCAGUGCAUGGCAAAAGCUGUAUGAAAGUGGGCACAUGGCCACAGAACAGACAGGUUUUUCCAAGGAAGGCAUCAGCAGAAGCUGCUUGCUGGCUCUUUGCUAGAAGCACAGCUAAGGAGCCUGCCUAGGGGAGAUACCUGGCACGGUUGGCAUGCUAUACUGUUUUUCAUUGAGGUAAAAUUCGUAUAACAUAAAAUUCACCAUUUUAGCCAUUUUAAAAUACACAAUUCAGUGACUUUUAGUGCAUUCACAGGAUAGUGCAACCAUCACCACUAUCUAAUUCCAGAACAUUUUCAUUCAUUCAAAAGACACUUUAGACUCAUCCAGCAGUCAUUCCCAUUUUCCCCUCUCCUCAGCCCCAGAAAACAGCUAAUUUGCUUUCUGUCUGUAUAGAUUCACCUGUUCUGGACACUUCAUAUAAAUGAGAUCACACAAGUCAUGGCCUUUUGUGUCUGUCUUCCUUCCCUUAGCAAAACGUCUUUAUCCAAGUUGAAGUAUGAAUCAGUACUUCAUUCCUUCUUAUGUCUGAAUAAUGUCCUAUUGUGUGGAUAUACAAUAUUAUGUUUAUUCAUUUGGCUGUUGUGAAUAGUGCUGCUAUGAAAUUCUUGUAGAACUUUUUCUUUGAACACCUGUCUUCAGUUAUUUGGGGUAUGUACUUAGGAGCAGAAUGGCUGGCUCAUAUAGUAAUUCUGUUUAGCUUUUUGAAGAAUAGCCAAACUCUUUUUCCCAGCAGCAGCACCAUUUCACAUUCCUCCCUCCAGUUUCUCAACAUCUUUGCUAACAUUUGUUAUUUUUUGUUUUUAAAAUCAUAGCCAUUCUAGGAGCUGGGCAGUGAUAUCUCACACACCCUCCCUCCCUCCCUCCCUCCUUCCUUCCUUCCUUUUCCUUCCUUCCUUUUCCUUCCUUCCUUCCUUUCUUCCUUCCUUCCUUCC
RNAcentral lists this long non-coding RNA (1354 nucleotides) under Homo sapiens (human). Its description in RNAcentral is "non-protein coding lnc-LSM3-4:1". Lineage: Eukaryota; Metazoa; Chordata; Mammalia; Primates; Hominidae. The record is from RNAcentral.